ACAAGUAGUCAGAGCCCGUUAAUGGGUGAUGGCGUGCCUUUUGUAGAAUGAACCGGCGAGUUACGAUUUGAUGCAAGGUUAAGCAGUAAAUGUGGAGCCGUAGCGAAAGCGAGUCUGAAUAGGGCGUUUAGUAUUUGGUCGUAGACCCGAAACCAGGUGAUCUACCCUUGGUCAGGUUGAAGUUCAGGUAACACUGAAUGGAGGACCGAACCGACUUACGUUGAAAAGUGAGCGGAUGAACUGAGGGUAGCGGAGAAAUUCCAAUCGAACCUGGAGAUAGCUGGUUCUCUCCGAAAUAGCUUUAGGGCUAGCCUCAAGUGAUGAUUAUUGGAGGUAGAGCACUGUUUGGACGAGGGGCCCCUCUCGGGUUACCGAAUUCAGACAAACUCCGAAUGCCAAUUAAUUUAACUUGGGAGUCAGAACAUGGGUGAUAAGGUCCGUGUUCGAAAGGGAAACAGCCCAGACCACCAGCUAAGGUCCCAAAAUAUAUGUUAAGUGGAAAAGGAUGUGGCGUUGCCCAGACAACUAGGAUGUUGGCUUAGAAGCAGCCAUCAUUUAAAGAGUGCGUAAUAGCUCACUAGUCGAGUGACACUGCGCCGAAAAUGUACCGGGGCUAAACAUAUUACCGAAGCUGUGGAUUGUCCUUUGGACAAUGGUAGGAGAGCGUUCUAAGGGCGUUGAAGCAUGAUCGUAAGGACAUGUGGAGCGCUUAGAAGUGAGAAUGCCGGUGUGAGUAGCGAAAGACGGGUGAGAAUCCCGUCCACCGAUUG
Molecule: ribosomal RNA, 770 nt
Filed under: Staphylococcus aureus
Lineage: Bacteria; Bacillati; Bacillota; Bacilli; Caryophanales; Staphylococcaceae
Description: partial 23S ribosomal RNA
Rfam family: Bacterial large subunit ribosomal RNA
Source: RNAcentral